This 2142-nucleotide ribosomal RNA is filed under the name Salmonella enterica subsp. enterica serovar Enteritidis. RNAcentral describes it as "partial 23S ribosomal RNA". It matches the Rfam family "Bacterial large subunit ribosomal RNA", at positions 679 to 2802 of the family's 2925-position model. The record is from RNAcentral. Lineage: Bacteria; Pseudomonadati; Pseudomonadota; Gammaproteobacteria; Enterobacterales; Enterobacteriaceae.
GAGUCUUAAUUGGGCGUUAAGUUGCAGGGUAUAGACCCGAAACCCGGUGAUCUAGCCAUGGGCAGGUUGAAGGUUGGGUAACACUAACUGGAGGACCGAACCGACUAAUGUUGAAAAAUUAGCGGAUGACCUGUGGCUGGGGGUGAAAGGCCAAUCAAACCGGGAGAUAGCUGGUUCUCCCCGAAAGCUAUUUAGGUAGCGCCUCGUGAAUUCAUCUCCGGGGGUAGAGCACUGUUUCGGCUAGGGGGCCAUCCCGGCUUACCAACCCGAUGCAAACUGCGAAUACCGGAGAAUGUUAUCACGGGAGACACACGGCGGGUGCUAACGUCCGUCGUGAAGAGGGAAACAACCCAGACCGCCAGCUAAGGUCCCAAAGUCAUGGUUAAGUGGGAAACGAUGUGGGAAGGCCCAGACAGCCAGGAUGUUGGCUUAGAAGCAGCCAUCAUUUAAAGAAAGCGUAAUAGCUCACUGGUCGAGUCGGCCUGCGCGGAAGAUGUAACGGGGCUAAACCAUGCACCGAAGCUGCGGCAGCGACACUGUGUGUUGUUGGGUAGGGGAGCGUUCUGUAAGCCUGUGAAGGUGUGUCGUGAGGCAUGCUGGAGGUAUCAGAAGUGCGAAUGCUGACAUAAGUAACGAUAAAGCGGGUGAAAAGCCCGCUCGCCGGAAGACCAAGGGUUCCUGUCCAACGUUAAUCGGGGCAGGGUGAGUCGACCCCUAAGGCGAGGCCGAAAGGCGUAGUCGAUGGGAAACGGGUUAAUAUUCCCGUACUUGGUGUUACUGCGAAGGGGGGACGGAGAAGGCUAUGUUGGCCGGGCGACGGUUGUCCCGGUUUAAGCGUGUAGGUGUGUGUUCCAGGUAAAUCCGGUUCACUUUAACACUGAGGCGUGACGACGAGGCACUACGGUGCUGAAGCAACAAAUGCCCUGCUUCCAGGAAAAGCCUCUAAGCAUCAGGUAACAUCAAAUCGUACCCCAAACCGACACAGGUGGUCAGGUAGAGAAUACCAAGGCGCUUGAGAGAACUCGGGUGAAGGAACUAGGCAAAAUGGUGCCGUAACUUCGGGAGAAGGCACGCUGACACGUAGGUGAAGUGAUUUACUCAUGGAGCUGAAGUCAGUCGAAGAUACCAGCUGGCUGCAACUGUUUAUUAAAAACACAGCACUGUGCAAACACGAAAGUGGACGUAUACGGUGUGACGCCUGCCCGGUGCCGGAAGGUUAAUUGAUGGGGUCAGCGCAAGCGAAGCUCCUGAUCGAAGCCCCGGUAAACGGCGGCCGUAACUAUAACGGUCCUAAGGUAGCGAAAUUCCUUGUCGGGUAAGUUCCGACCUGCACGAAUGGCGUAAUGAUGGCCAGGCUGUCUCCACCCGAGACUCAGUGAAAUUGAACUCGCUGUGAAGAUGCAGUGUACCCGCGGCAAGACGGAAAGACCCCGUGAACCUUUACUAUAGCUUGACACUGAACAUUGAGCCUUGAUGUGUAGGAUAGGUGGGAGGCUUUGAAGUGUGGACGCCAGUCUGCAUGGAGCCGACCUUGAAAUACCACCCUUUAAUGUUUGAUGUUCUAACGUGGACCCGUUACCCGGGUUGCGGACAGUGUCUGGUGGGUAGUUUGACUGGGGCGGUCUCCUCCUAAAGAGUAACGGAGGAGCACGAAGGUUGGCUAAUCCUGGUCGGACAUCAGGAGGUUAGUGCAAUGGCAUAAGCCAGCUUGACUGCGAGCGUGACGGCGCGAGCAGGUGCGAAAGCAGGUCAUAGUGAUCCGGUGGUUCUGAAUGGAAGGGCCAUCGCUCAACGGAUAAAAGGUACUCCGGGGAUAACAGGCUGAUACCGCCCAAGAGUUCAUAUCGACGGCGGUGUUUGGCACCUCGAUGUCGGCUCAUCACAUCCUGGGGCUGAAGUAGGUCCCAAGGGUAUGGCUGUUCGCCAUUUAAAGUGGUACGCGAGCUGGGUUUAGAACGUCGUGAGACAGUUCGGUCCCUAUCUGCCGUGGGCGCUGGAGAACUGAGGGGGGCUGCUCCUAGUACGAGAGGACCGGAGUGGACGCAUCACUGGUGUUCGGGUUGUCAUGCCAAUGGCACUGCCCGGUAGCUAAAUGCGGAAGAGAUAAGUGCUGAAAGCAUCUAAGCACGAAACUUGCCCCGA